AUUGAACGCUGGCGGCAGGCCUAACACAUGCAAGUCGAACGAGUGGCGGACGGGUGAGUAAUGUCUGGGAAACUGCCUGAUGGCGGGGGCUAACUACUGGAAACGGUAGCUAAUAACGCAUAACAUCAGAUGGGCCCAGAUGGGAUUGGCUUGUUGGUGGGGUAACGGCUCACCAAGGAGACGAUCCCUACCUGGUAUGCGAGGAUGACCGGCCACACUGUAAUGGAGACACGGUCAAGACUCCUACGGGAGGCAGCAUUGGGGAAUAUUGCACAAUGGGCGCAAGCCGGAUGCAGCCAUGCCGCGUGUAGGAAGAAGGCCUUCGGUUUUUAAAGUACUUUCAGCGGGGAGGCGUUACCCGCAGAAGAAGCACCGGCUAACUCCGUGCCAGCAGCCGCGGUAAUUC
Molecule: ribosomal RNA, 406 nt
Filed under: uncultured bacterium
Lineage: Bacteria
Description: partial 16S ribosomal RNA
Rfam family: Bacterial small subunit ribosomal RNA
Source: RNAcentral